This 329-nucleotide ribosomal RNA is filed under the name uncultured Paracoccaceae bacterium. RNAcentral's name for it is "bacterial SSU rRNA". It matches the Rfam family "Bacterial small subunit ribosomal RNA", at positions 331 to 677 of the family's 1533-position model. The record is from RNAcentral. Lineage: Bacteria; Pseudomonadati; Pseudomonadota; Alphaproteobacteria; Rhodobacterales; Paracoccaceae.
CCAGACUCCUACGGGAGGCAGCAGUGGGGAAUCUUAGACAAUGGGCGCAAGCCUGAUCUAGCCAUGCCGCGUGAGUGAUGAAGGCCUUAGGGUCGUAAAGCUCUUUCGCCAGGGAUGAUAAUGACAGUACCUGGUAAAGAAACCCCGGCUAACUCCGUGCCAGCAGCCGCGGUAAUACGGAGGGGGUUAGCGUUGUUCGGAAUUACUGGGCGUAAAGCGCGCGUAGGCGGACCAGAAAGUUGGGGGUGAAAUCCCGGGGCUCAACCCCGGAACUGCCUCCAAAACUCCUGGUCUAGAGUUCGAGAGAGGUGAGUGGAAUUCCGAGUGUA